RNAcentral lists this unclassified non-coding RNA (249 nucleotides) under Homarus americanus (American lobster). RNAcentral describes it as "uncharacterized LOC121870360, transcript variant X1". The record is from RNAcentral. Lineage: Eukaryota; Metazoa; Arthropoda; Malacostraca; Decapoda; Nephropidae.
ACGGCCGCCCACACUGUGGUCAUCAGGACCUCCAAAUUCGCCGCCCACGCCCACAGUCACACACCCAGGAACCAGUUUGUAACGAAAGGGGCGUCGAGUGUCUUUCUGGCUCUCCAUGGCGUAGAUAUAGUCCCACAUCACUGAUAAGCGCCCUGUUCAUCUACCAGGAGCCUGGAACAUCCGGUAAUGACGAGCAGUGACUCACCACACGUGAUGGACUGAUGACAGAAGUGGUGGCAGAGACAAGAU